AAGGUUUUAAGUUAAUAUAAACUAUGAGCCUUCAAAGCUUGAAAAAAAAGUAAAAAUCUUUUAAACCUUG
This 70-nucleotide transfer RNA is filed under the name Dardanus aspersus. RNAcentral describes it as "tRNA-Trp". It matches the Rfam family "tRNA". Rfam says of the family: Transfer RNA (tRNA) molecules are approximately 80 nucleotides in length. Their secondary structure includes four short double-helical elements and three loops (D, anti-codon, and T loops). The record is from RNAcentral. Lineage: Eukaryota; Metazoa; Arthropoda; Malacostraca; Decapoda; Diogenidae.